Molecule: ribosomal RNA, 119 nt
Filed under: Pteropus alecto (black flying fox)
Lineage: Eukaryota; Metazoa; Chordata; Mammalia; Chiroptera; Pteropodidae
Source: RNAcentral
GUCUACGGCCAUGCCACCCUGAACAAGCCCGAUCCCAUCUGAUCUCAGAAGCUAAGCAAGGUCGGGCCUGGUUAGUACUUGGAUGGGAGACCACCUAGGAAGACCAGGUGCUAUAGGCA